CAGUCUAUGGUGUGCACACGCUCUGACACCAGAAGUGAUCUCUCGCAAGUAUACGUCACUCAUUGUUAACACAGAGCACGAACAUUGUAGGUACAACGGCUAAUCAAAAUGGUACUUGCGCUUAUCCGGAUUGUUCAAACCGACUUAAAACUAAAAGAUUACGUUCUCUCGCGCAAACUCAUUCGGGAGUGGUGACUUUCCACGUAUUCCCAAUUUCUGAGCCUGCUCGCCUGAAGUUAUGGUUGAUUGCUCUUCGGCUGGAUAUCAACACACCCAUUAACGUAUUAAAGUUGUUGAGGGUCUGCAGCGAUCAUUUUUCCCCUGAUGAUUUUACACACCCAGUAGAGGAUCUCAUACGACUUAAACCAUCAGCUGUGCCUAUGGUUUUUCCACAUCCAACUGAGGCACCAUGUUUAAACUAUGCCAGAGAACGUAACAUUACACACCUCACGCACCGGAUGCUGUGCGCGUGCUUAAGGCAGUUGGACAUGGUGUAUUAGAGAUUUUGUUACCAUUGGCAUGCAUUAUAAGACUGACAGACUGCAACGGUUGGAGUUAAAA
This is a long non-coding RNA of Megalobrama amblycephala (Wuchang bream), 561 nucleotides long. RefSeq lists it as uncharacterized. Lineage: Eukaryota; Metazoa; Chordata; Actinopteri; Cypriniformes; Xenocyprididae. The transcript has 3 exons. The record is from RefSeq and is a predicted model, not a curated record.